CCAGAGCGGUGGCUGGGGGCAGCCUCAUGGUGGUGGCUGG
Aotus trivirgatus (douroucouli) is the source of this 40-nucleotide non-coding RNA. The record is from Rfam. NCBI's taxonomy places the organism in Eukaryota, Metazoa, Chordata, Mammalia, Primates, Aotidae.